AUUAGCUAGUUGGUAAGGUAAUGGCUUACCAAGGCUACGAUCUGUAUCCGGUCUAAGAGGACGGUCGGACACACUGACACUGAAUAACGGGUCAGACUCCUACGGGAGGCAGCAGUCGGGAAUUUUGGGCAAUGGGGGAAACCCUGACCCAGCAACGCCGCGUGAAGGAUGAAGUUUUUCGGAAUGUAAACUUCGAAAGAAUAGGAAGAAUUAAUGACGGUACUAUUUAUAAGGUCCGGCUAACUACGUGCCAGCAGCCGCGGUAAUACGUAGGGACCAAGCGUUGUUCGGAUUUACUGGGCGUAAAGGGCGCGUAGGCGGCGUGGUAAGUCACUUGUGAAAUCUCUGAGCUUAACUCAGAACGGCCAAGUGAUACUGCUGUGCUAGAGUGCAGAAGGGGCAAUCGGAAUUCUUGGUGUAGCGGUGAAAUGCGUAGAUAUCAAGAGGAACACCUGAGGUGAAGACGGGUUGCUGGGCUGACACUGACGCUGAGGCGCGAAAGCCAGGGGAGCAAACGGGAUUAGAUACCCCGGUAGUCCUGGCCCU
This 546-nucleotide ribosomal RNA is filed under the name uncultured bacterium. RNAcentral describes it as "bacterial SSU rRNA". It matches the Rfam family "Bacterial small subunit ribosomal RNA", at positions 240 to 803 of the family's 1533-position model. The record is from RNAcentral.